AUGCUAUGGAUAAGUACUGUUCUCUUCUGCUUCAUUUGUGUUGGGAUGUUCAGGUCUUGCUGGUGUAGAGUCCCUAGACUCUGGUGGCAUCAUAUUUGUUUUUCUAUUGUUGGAUGUGUUCUUAUGUUGUGGUCUUCCCAUCUCUUCUUCCAGUGGGUGCAGGUGGUGUCUCUUCCUCUCCUGGUGUGUACAGGUCCAAGGUUGUCUUCCGAUGGGUGCAAGAGGGUUAGAUACUCUGAUGGGUCUCAAGGUGGGUGCAGCAUGUGUGAGGCACUCACUCUCCAGAUGGGUGGGAGUGGGACUAGCCCAGCGAUCUCUACAGACUCAGGGUUGCUAGGACCUCAGGGGCCAAGUGAACCUGCCUACAGACCCCAGGACAGGAGUUCCCCCAGUUUCAGUUUUGAUUGCAGACUCUUAAGUUUUCACUGCUGAAUGAAUCUCUGAGUUGGUGACCUAGAAAAGAAUCCUGCAAAAGUAGCUGAGGCUAUCCUCAUACUCAAUACAGCCCUCCCGUCUCUCAAAACUUCCAAGAAUGGAAAUUUAUAUGUAAGUGUAAUUGAUUAAUAAUUAGACUUUAUUUGCACUCCUAGUACUUUAGUUUUUAUUAUGAUAUAAAAUUAGGGAUCAGACUGCUAUAUUAACCAGAAAGUCAUCUUUAAAUGUUAAAACAAAGUACUUAAAACAGGAAACUCAAAAGGAAAACAUUCUCCCUCCUCCUUGACACACA
Molecule: long non-coding RNA, 727 nt
Filed under: Cricetulus griseus (Chinese hamster)
Lineage: Eukaryota; Metazoa; Chordata; Mammalia; Rodentia; Cricetidae
Description: lncRNA (ENSCGRG00000025664.1)
Source: RNAcentral